Non-coding RNA from Anopheles epiroticus, 45 nucleotides. The record is from Rfam. NCBI's taxonomy places the organism in Eukaryota, Metazoa, Arthropoda, Insecta, Diptera, Culicidae.
AAAGAGGUUUUUUUUAAAACCAUAAUAUUUUAGUAUAAAUAGUAA